RNAcentral lists this long non-coding RNA (2855 nucleotides) under Daucus carota (carrot). RNAcentral describes it as "long non-coding RNA (DCAR_LNC007325)". Lineage: Eukaryota; Viridiplantae; Streptophyta; Magnoliopsida; Apiales; Apiaceae. The record is from RNAcentral.
AGGGGGUCGAAAUAUUGUUGACAAAAUGAAAACCACCGAAAUGAGAUGAUCAAAAACCAGCAUAUGGUAUUGUGGCACAUUGGAUUUUGGGGUAAAACUUGGAGCCCAAGGUGUAAUGUGUAGCCACCAAGUAAUUUCUUUAUUAUUAAAAUUAGUUAACCAUAAUUAAGGGCUAAUUAGGAUUAAGAGAGUAAUAUAAAAAGCAAGAGAGUGAAACAAAAAUGACUUUAGCAUAAAUCAAGUGGGGAAUUUGGGAGAAGCAGAACAAGAGUAAAGGUUGGAGAAGGAGGUAAAUACGUUGUCAAUUCCUCUUUUCCAAUAAAAGCAAAUUAUGUUUUCUUUAUUAUUACUAUAACGUUAAUGGUGAAAUGAUAAUCAUUUGGACCUUAUCUCUUUAUAAUACUGCUAGUAUUAACAAGAAGAGUUACUAUAUAAAAAAAAAAAAUUUAAAAAAAACAAACAAAGAGUAUAUACUCUGUGCGUUCAAAGCUUGAAUUCUUUGCAAAAAAUCUAUAUUAAUUAGGGUUCUAUAUACUUAAUUUGGGAAUUUUGAAUAAAACUAUAAAUUGCUUGUGAUGUUGUGUUGAAGAUUGAUAUGGAGUGUUUCAGUUUGGGGAUGGCACGAAGGAGGGUGGAUGUUGCAAGGGUGUGUAGCGGCGAGGGGUCGAGGGCGGCGAAACCACCGCCGUUGGUGUCGUCGGGUUUUCGGGGAAGAAGGAAGCCACAAGAGAAGGGGGAAACUAGAGGGGGGAGAUUUGUGCGGAGUGCGUGUGUUUUGGUGGGAAAAUAAAAUUGAGAUAGGGUAAUAAAAUAAAAGAUAAAAUUGAUUUAGGACACUAUUAAAACAAAUAAGGACUAAGGAGUGGGAUUAAUAUCGAAAGGAAUUGAAUUAUUUAGAAGAGAUGGAGUGUAAUAUUAAUUGUUGAGUUGAUAAAUUUUGGGGAUUUAAUAAUUUAGUUUAACAAUAAAAUAAUAAAUAAUAAGGGUAAUUGGUGAUCUCUUAAUUUGGAGUUUUAAAGGUUUAUUAAUAAUUUUCAGCAAUAAAAUAUUGGGGUAAUUAAAGUAAAGUUUUUGGAUUUAAAUUUAAGACUUGGAAAAUAGAUAUAAUAUGAAUAAAAGUUAACAAUAAAAUCAUAGUUAUUAGUGAGGUGUGGAGACAAGAUCUAGAAUAUAAUAGAGGUGGCAAUAAUAUUGGGAAUUGACUACUGAGGAGUAACUUUAGAUUUAGUUUGUUAAUAAAUUGUGAAAUAUUCAUUACUAAACAGGUUGUGUGAUCAUGGAAUCAGAAAUAAUAAUUUAUGAGGGAAUUAAGAACUACACGAAUUGCAAUGGAACCUUGUUUAAAAUGGAUAAGUAAUCAUUGUACCAUUAAUAUAUAAUAUAGAUCACCCGGAAAUGGGAAUGGUUAAAUAAGAUCAUUGAUUAAUAAUUUGAAUGAUAAAAUAAAGUUAAGGGUUAGAUGUAAAUAAUGAUCCUUAUUGUUGGGAUACUAAUAUAUUAUUUCGCGUGACUUAGAAUAUCUAAUAUCCGGAAGGACUGAGCCUGAUUAUACAUAAUGAUCACAAAAAUACUACCAAGCUAAGGACGACAGGCAAGUUCACUAUCUCUCUCUCGACGUGAAGUUUUUCGUGCCUAUUUGAUAAUUGUGUGAAAAGUUUUGAUUGUGAAGAUAUUACAUUUCGUACCAAUAUGAAUCGAGAAAAUAUCUCCGUUUCACUUUAAAGACUUUAAAGAUAUUGUUCAUAUAUUACUUUCUAUAAUUCGAGCACUCCCAUUGUUCGGGAAUGAGCUGGUUCUAAUAAACGAUAAUAUUUGAAUUUUCGAAACUUGAAGUAAAUACAUUGCAGCGAUGAUCUCGCCACAAUUAACUUACUUCCUUUUUGGAGAUCAUCUCAUUCUUUGGAAUCUAGUUCUUUUAAUUAUCCUUCACUUCUACCUUCGGGUAAUCUUUGUUGAAAGGGUGCAUUGUUCGCACUUCUUUGGUAGAAAUGAGUAGUGAUGAUUGAGAAGUGUUUGUUUGGGAGAAUUUCUUUGUACUCGGAGGAAUCUGUUUAAGCUGGUCAACACGAAUUUAUUAAAUUCGUGGUAGAGUUGAGAAUUUACUAUCUGGUAAGGCAGAUAGUUUAGGGUUACCAAUGUUAACCCUUAUGCUAGCAAAUGAGAGUGGUAGUUGUGUCUUGUGCGGUUACGAUCAGGCUGCAAAGAUCACACAGGAGAACGGUAUUCACGAAAUGGUGCUGAUCGAGCCAUGUAGUGUUACCGAGAGGUGGAAGACCAGCGUUUUCUUUACUUGAACUUGUGUUGUCAUUUGUCGGUAGCUGCUUUGUUGCUUUGACUUAAAUUGUUUUCGAUGCCUUAUGUGCAUAUUUUGUUGAUUGUUGUUUUGUUCUAUGUGGACUUGCUGAGCAAUUUGAUUGCUCAUUCUUGCAUCUAUUUUAUUCUUUUUUUUGAGCAGUAAAUAGUGAGUAUGGCACAACUCAAGAGAACCGCCCGGAAAUGGGUUUUUGGCAAAAGCAGGGAAAAGGCACAUCACCCAAGAGGAGAUGGCUAGACUACGCCGCUUGGUAGUACAAGCUAUAGUUAUUAUAAUGGUCUGAAAUCAGACUUCCCUUUAUGUAAUAAAGUUAGACUCGGUAGUAAUGUUUUAAGGCGAUCGACCCUGGACUUGUGGGGCAAGAGUUUGAUUGUGUAAUCUUAAAUAUGUAAUGCAAGUAUUGUUUUAAACCAGAUGUAUAGUGGCGGACCAGAUCUGCGGGAUGCGGAUCUGGGGGCGUCACAUUUUCACAUAAAUGGGUCCCUAUGGAUAUAUGAAUUUGUUCACGACCAUAUUUGAGGCAGUCGGGACUGAAUCGGAG